RNAcentral lists this ribosomal RNA (253 nucleotides) under uncultured bacterium. RNAcentral describes it as "partial 16S ribosomal RNA". It matches the Rfam family "Bacterial small subunit ribosomal RNA", at positions 524 to 776 of the family's 1533-position model. The record is from RNAcentral.
UACGGGGGGGGCAAGCGUUGUUCGGAAUUACUGGGCGUAAAGGGCUCGUAGGUGGCCAACUAAGUCAUACGUGAAAUCCCUCAGCUUAACCGGGGAACUGCGUCUGAUACUGGAUGGCUUGAGUUCGGGAGAGGGAUGCGGAAUUCCAGGUGUAGCGGUGAAAUGCGCAGAUAUCAGGAGGAACACCGGUGGCGAAGGCGGGUCUCUGGGCAGUAACUGACGCUGAGGAGCGAAAGCGUGGGGAGCGAACAGG